This is a non-coding RNA of Oryza nivara, 203 nucleotides long. The record is from Rfam. Lineage: Eukaryota; Viridiplantae; Streptophyta; Magnoliopsida; Poales; Poaceae.
AAUAAGUGUAGCCAUAAGUUUCUGUACCCAACUUUGAUUGUCCGUUUUAUUUAAAAUUUUUUAUAAUUAGUAUUUUUGUUGUUAUGAGAUGAUAAAACAUGAAUAGUAUUUUAUUCGUGGCUUAUAUUUUUAAUUUUUUCAAAAAGUUUUCAAAUAAGACGAACGAUCAAAGUUAGACGCGGAAAAUCAUAACUGCACUUAUU